Molecule: transfer RNA, 70 nt
Filed under: Dipodomys ordii (Ord's kangaroo rat)
Lineage: Eukaryota; Metazoa; Chordata; Mammalia; Rodentia; Heteromyidae
Rfam family: tRNA
About the family: Transfer RNA (tRNA) molecules are approximately 80 nucleotides in length. Their secondary structure includes four short double-helical elements and three loops (D, anti-codon, and T loops).
Source: Rfam by way of RNAcentral
GGGAAUGUGGCUUAGUGGUAGAGUGCUUGCCUAGCAUGCAUGAAGCCCUGGGUUUAAUUCCUUAGUUCCA